AAUUUUGGACAAUGGGGGAAACCCAGAUCCAGCCAUCCCGCGUGUGUGAUGAAGGCCUUCGUGUUGUAAAGUACUUUUGGCAGAGAAGAAAAGGUACCUCCUAAUACGAGGUACUGCUGACGGUAUCUGCAGAAUAAGCACCGUCUAACUACGUGCCAGCAGCCGCGGUCAUACGUAGGGUGCAAGCGCUAAUCGGAAUUACUGGGGGUACAGCGUGUGUAGGCGGGUCGGAAAGAAAGAAGUGAAAUCCCCGGGCUCAACCUUGGAAAUGCGUUUUUAACUGCCGAGCUAGAGUAUGUCAGAGGGGGGUAGAAUUCCACGUGUAGCAGUGAAAUGCGUAGAUAUGUGGAGGAAUACCGAUGGCGAAGGCAGCCCCCUGGGAUAAUACUGACGCUCAGACACGAAAGCGUGGGGAGCAAACA
This 422-nucleotide ribosomal RNA is filed under the name uncultured bacterium. RNAcentral describes it as "partial 16S ribosomal RNA". It matches the Rfam family "Bacterial small subunit ribosomal RNA", at positions 360 to 774 of the family's 1533-position model. The record is from RNAcentral.